GGGAAUCAUCAGUUCGCUGCUGCUCAUGCUCUUAGUACUCGAACGAACCGAACUCGCAGGCCUACUAGUAUUUACGACUUCUCUCAUCCUCUUUCAAUUAAUCAUCCUUUAAACACAGUAACAUCUCCAUGAUCACUCACGCUUCAGCUUCUCAUAUAUUGCUAUAUACUGUAUUCUUUUAUUCUUGGUUUCGCCUCUAUAUAUUCCUUGCUCACCACUUCCAUGGUGACACUAUUUACGCAUCAAAACCCACUUCCUGCUCAAAUUUGGUCGUCUCUUCAGUUCACUUUGCUUUCUCCGAACCUUCAAUUUUUGUUUUUCAAUUGCAAAUAAAAACACUAAUCCCCUUUAUGGGGUUUUGGUGUUAUUUGGUGUUUUAUCUAUCCUUUCAGGAAAGGAUUGCUAACCGUCAUAAGAUUAUGAACUGAAAUAAUUGAAGCAGAAGCAAGCUAAUCGCAUGAGAUUUAUUGGUAAGCGUCAAUGCCUAUGGAAAGAUCCAGCCAUAGAGACCUCUGAAGAUUUUGAUUUGAGCCGUUUACAUCUUAGCUCCAACAGAUACGAUGGUGAACCAUUGCUAUGAAGCCGGGAAUGGAAAAUUGAGAUCUUGAAAAGUUAUGGCGGACAACCUAAUUGGCAGAUACGUGAAAACGAAACUGGGGAUCAUAUUCCAUACGAAGUUUAAAAGCUCCCAGUUAUCAUUAUUACAUAUGGUAAAUGUUUGGAGUAUCUUGACCAUCAACAGAACAAGGCUGGGAGCUUUUACUUAUGUGGCUGCCUUGGAAUUGAAAAGUCACUUUGGAUGGAGAAAGUAAGAUUACAAGCUGAGCACUGGCCAAAACAGGAAGGCUUGCCUUGGGUAGAAACAAUGUCUGUUAAUUGCACGUCACUGACAGAAAACAUAUAUAUUCUCAAAGUCUGAUAAUUGCACAUGAGAUGGAUUACUUGAUCACAAGAGACCGAGGUGGCCUUCAUGAGCUUUUUAUGCUCACAACAUUGUCAUUCUUAAGAUGUAUCCUCCUUAUAGCUAACUUAUAGUUUAUAAAACACCAACAUUAUAAUUUCAAAUGGGUUAUAUAGCAAAUGGGUUGUUGCCACUAAAAAUGCUCUAUUGCCCUUAUAAAAUGGUAGGAAGGCAUUGCUACAGCUCAACGAGGAGAAAUCCAUUGUCCUUUAUGAGGUUACAUAGAACCAAAAUGCCUGAUUCACACCUCUAGCAAGCAAACUGUUGUUCGACCGCAUCUCAUGAAAAGGUUCAACUCAUGAUAGUUCUGUAGACAAGGACUACAGUGUUGCAGAAAGUACAAUAAUAAAGACAGACGAAUUUUGAUACCUUCAGAGGGAAACAGAGCGAGAAGAUGCUAUAAGAUGCGAGAUGUAUAUCAGAUCUGAAAUCAGGACAAGAUUUAGGGAAAGAGGAAGAAGAGGAUCAAGAGAUUGGAGCAAAUAACUUGUUCAAGAAAGUGAGAGAAAAAAACUAAGAAGAGCAGGAACAGUCUUACCAAACAUGGUCAUAGUCAUUACCAUGAUAAUGAGCAUGAAGAAUAAUAUGACGAGCAAGGACCAAAAAUGGCACAGGGAGCCAGGGAUGCCUGCUUAUGAUUCAUGGACGUGUGGAAGAAAAGCACGAAUCUGGUCAGUGCUUUGAAAUCAGAGCAAGAUAAGGGCAACACACCCAAGCAUCUCUACAAUGAACGACUCAGGGUUUAUUUUCGUAAAUGCUGUAAUCAUACGAUUGUGAUUAUAGAUUUUAACUUCUUUUUCAAUCUAGAUAAUGAAACCAAGACCUAAUGUCACACCUGAAAGUAAAAUAUUCAUUCAAGUGAA
Molecule: long non-coding RNA, 1824 nt
Organism: Brassica napus (rape)
Lineage: Eukaryota; Viridiplantae; Streptophyta; Magnoliopsida; Brassicales; Brassicaceae
Exons: 9
Source: RefSeq, a predicted model, not a curated record